This 966-nucleotide ribosomal RNA is filed under the name Oesophagostomum dentatum (nodular worm). RNAcentral's name for it is "large ribosomal RNA". Lineage: Eukaryota; Metazoa; Nematoda; Chromadorea; Rhabditida; Strongylidae. The record is from RNAcentral.
UAAGUUUAUGUUUUUUUAAUUUUAGGUAUUGCAUAUCAUUUGAGGAAAAUUUUAUUGUUAAUAAAUUAUAGAAUUGAAAGGUAGAAAAAUUUAUUAUCUUUAUUGUUUCAUAAUAAGAAUUAUAAUUUUUAGGGUUGAAAAGUCGACUUUUAAGAUAUCUGUGUAUUUUGUUGAAAUUAGAAAUUUAUUUUUUUUAAUAAGAUUUUUAUAAAAAGUAAAAGUUGAAGUAUUUAUUUUUUUAGUUUUAUAACAGUUUAUUUUAAUUAUUUUUUAGUUUAUAAUUUAUAUGAUAAGUUUUUAUCAUAUUUAUUAUUUUGAAAUUAGUAACUUGUAGUUAAGUUAUUUAGUAAUAUUUAAUAUAACUAAAGAACUCAAAUGUUAAUCAAAUGUUUUUUAAAGACUUAGACUUUUAUAUAAAGUUUGCUUCUGCCCAGUGAUAGUAAUUAAAUGGCAGUCUUAGCGUGAGGACAUUAAGGUAGCAAAAUAAUUUGUGCUUUUAUUGAGUUCCAGUAUGAAUGAAGUUAUUGGUUAAUUUAUUUUUUAGUUUUUUUGGUGAAGUUUUAAUUAAUAAUAAAAAAAUAUUAUUAUAAUAAAACAAAGAUAAGUCUUCGGAAAUUCUUUUUUAAUGGUAAUAAUAUUUAUUGCUGUUAAAAAUUUUCUAGGGCAGAAUUUUAUAUAAUUAUUAUAUCUAUUAAUAAUUUGAAGAAUUACUCCGGAGUUAACAGAAAAUCAUAUCUAAUCUAGUUCUUAUAGUAAGGUAAGUUUUACAUCGAUGUUGUAUUUAAGUUUAUUAAGAAAGGAGAAGAUUUAAUUUUUAAGACUGUUCUUCUUUUAAUUAACUUAACGUGAUAUUAGUUUAAUUCAUUGUGAGAUAGAAUUGUUUAUCUUGUUUAUUAUUUUUAGAAAAUUUUAAUAGUACGAAAGGAAAAUUAAAAAAAGUUUUAAACUUUAUAAGGUUAAUCCUUA